This 125-nucleotide small RNA is filed under the name Marmota monax (woodchuck). The record is from RNAcentral. Lineage: Eukaryota; Metazoa; Chordata; Mammalia; Rodentia; Sciuridae.
GCCGGGUGCAGAGGUGCACACCUGUAAUCCCAGUGGCUUGGGAGGCUGAGACAGGAGGAUUGUGAGUUCAAAGUCAGCCUCAGCAAAAGCGAGGUGCUAAGCAGCUCAGUGAGACCCUGUCUCUA